This 891-nucleotide long non-coding RNA is filed under the name Triticum aestivum (bread wheat). Its description in RNAcentral is "long non-coding RNA (TAES_LNC010938)". The record is from RNAcentral. Lineage: Eukaryota; Viridiplantae; Streptophyta; Magnoliopsida; Poales; Poaceae.
UAGAACACAGUAUAAAAUCCAAUUUAUUAAAUAUGAUAAAAUCCACUAAAUAAUGCCAGUAAAGUAUAUACAAAUUUGCACUUCCAUUACUUUGAACGAAAAAUAUACAUACAUCCGCGUCCACUACUCCUUUCAAACAAUGAUAAAACAUGAUCACUUGUCCGUCUUUCAGCGGACAAUCUUUGACUCCUCUAGUGACCUGGGAGCUGCGGAGAUCACUCCUCAACUGACUUAGCUGUUUGUUUAUCUAAACAAUAAAAGGCUUAGCUUUUCGUUAAUUUCAGUCUUGCAGAGUUGCAACCCCUCAAGUAUUUGGUCUUUGUAUUUGCUUGUUUUUUGUCAGUGCCUUGUUUCCUAAUUAUCCGAUGUAUUUUCUUGUAGAGUCAGGCUUAUUCUACACUAAUUCUAGAACAUCCUCGAGUUACCUAGCCUCCGUGGUAGCUCCUCCUCCCUUUUGCUGCUCCAUGUGCUAGCCUUGAAAAUGCCCAAUUAUAUUGUGUCCUUGCAUUGUUAUGUAUGUAGUUCUGAUCAAUCACACAAAUACCUAAAAGUAAAGAAUAAAACUAAAGUGAAAUUGCUAGGAAAAUGUCAAGAAAUCACAUACUGCUAGUUAGGGCAUCAGAAUAUCACAUUAUACUAUCCUCUACAAUGGUUACAUGUAAAGAAAAUUUGGAGGCAUAUACAACUAAAAAGUAAAUCAUUGUAUCAUGGAAAUGACAUACAAAUAUGGACCAUGGAAUAAAAUACUAUUGGAAGGCAUGUCUGCAAGGAUUGUUUAGAAACUUGAUCACUGUAUCAUGAAAAUGAUAUUGCAAGAGCUGACCUUUCCCUUGGGCACAUUCCCAUGCUUUGACUAAAAUAGAGCAUUUGCAGUUCCUGCUUGGACGCUCA